CAUAUUACAGUUCCCUUAUUAUUUACCACUCCACUAGUAGUGAAAGUUUUGGGCUGGUUAGAUUACCCAUGAUCCUCUACACUUUCACUGUAUUAUCUAAUUCGCUUCAUCUUGUGUGAUGUAGAGAAGAUGUAGAUGUUUGUGCUCUUCCAGAUGCAUGGUGUCUUCAUAUAUAAAACCCAGAGAUAUCAGUCCUUCUCACAUCACUUCCUGUGCAGCAGGACGAGCGUUAAAUCUGCACUCGGGGGACGUGGAGAGGGCAAGUCACUGAGAAAUCAUUCAAAUGCAGCCUUUGUGAAGCAGCUUGAAAGCUUGUUGUGAAGGCUCUGGGUUCCUGGCCGAGUUCCCACAGAGGACACUUUCAUUUUCUACAGACGGCUCUUUGUGCUCGACUCGUUCUCCACUGCUGCUACUUCAGUAAGACAAAAAACACCUUCCUAACCACAAUAUCAACUUCAUCUGCACCCCGAACGAGUGGAGAUACCAGACCUACGUGGCUUCACGUGCCAGUCGGGCCGUGCAGAAUGAAUUUCAGACACCUCUUUAUAGGAUAAAAGUGUUCAGUGAGACAGAUUUGACCUUCAGCAAGUUGGAAAUGUUAUGAUUCAAACCAUGUGGAGUUCAGUCCAGAGGAUCUUCAUCAACACACCAGAAAAUCACCACAGAAGCAGAUUUACUCCUCACCAUUGGUACUUUCAGUCUGUGUGUUGAGCUCAGAGCUGCUCUAUGAGGAGCACAUGUUCUCAGUUCUUUCCCCCAGUUAAAAAUCCUUCUCGAAAAGCAGUUUUUUUCCAUCCUGUUACAUAACCCGAGUGAUUCACCCUUUAGGAUCUUCUGUGAUUCAGAUGCAUGUGAUGUUGAUUCUCCAGUGAGGAACGAGGGACACCAGAGAGGAACUGCUGCAGGACAUGAGUGAAGAGCGUGUAACGAGAAGAGUUCAGAAGCAUCACGCUGUUGAAAAGUCACCUCGCUUGAGUUUGGAUGAGAAUUUCUCACAUAGCUAGACGUUUUUCUCCAGAUGGAUGGACAGCUGCAGGAAACUCAAUAGCAUGCAGGUCCCAUGAGCACAGCAGGCCACAUUAACCACUGCACUGCUGAGGAACACAAGCAACAGCUCAAAUACUCCAGUCUGGGAAAGUUGUGUAGGCUGAACUGUCUGAAGAUCCUGCUGAUCAUUCAGGGAGAAAAUGCCAGGACCUGAAUCUGAUGUUCUCAGAGCAGAUGAGCAGAUGAUCUAAUGCCAGCUGUCUAAUAAAGAGAACUCAUACAGGGAACAGAAAUAAUAAUACUGAACAUUUCACUUCCUUUCUAAAGAACGAUUUCAAGGUUUUUCCAUGUUGGAAUUCCAUUAAUUCGUUUUAUUGUUUAUUCAGCUGAAAAAAGUGCAGCAUGCUGGAAAAUCCACACGUAUACCGAGGAACUGGUGAAGAGGCCAAAAGAUCAACCUGAUGCUCCCACCAGCAUGCUUCACUGAGGAGAUGAUGAUCUCAGCAGUGUUGGGUUCCUGUUCUGAAAUGAUGGAACAUGUUUACAUGUAUCCAGAAAGACUUUUAUAUUAUUUAUAUGCUUGAGCAGUGGAGGGUUAAGGGCCCUGCUCAGGGGCCCACAGUGGCAGAUAGGUGGUGCACUUCUCAUCAGCACACUUUUAUUCUGGUUUAGAGAACAGUGAUGGUGUUUAUAUGAUCAGAUAAAGUAUGAAUUACCCUUGUGAGGUCUGGAUUUGGCUUUUGUCAUUUUCUUCUCAUCCGAUUCACAGCUUUUAAAUAUUUUCCAAUAGAAAAUAGCAAACGCUUAAAUAAAAGAGACGUCUACUUGUUCAGAGCUUGUUCUAGUGCUGAAGAUCAUCUCGAUCAUAGCGUCAGCCUGAACAGCUGCGUCUGAACACCUCCGAGACGUUCCUCACAAGCUGAAUGAUUCUGAAGCUGGUUAAAAUGUCAAUCGUUGUUUUUGGGGAAUGAACUUGACAAUUUGACAAGUAAACCCAAGAAAUGUGGUCUUUCAGGCGACAGAUCAAAUGCUAGCUAAGCUGCUGGUCUGGAGCCAGAGGAGGGGCUUUGCCAAAGAUCUUGGCAGAUCUGUAAGGUUUCACACGCCAACACACACACACACACACACACACACACACACACACACACAGCUUGUGUAGUGAAGCAUUUGACUCAGAAGGAAACUCUACAGCUUCUUCUCAGCCAAGCCAAACCUCUGAGUGCCUGCCUGAAAAACAACUCCAGAGCAGAAUUCGCUCUGAUUCCUGUUUCCUUCUCAGCGUUGCUGACUGAAGAAGUUCCUGAUAUGUUUACUCAGUUACCAUAUCGAUGCACUUAAACACUAGCUGCGGUAUGAACACUGGGUUUUGGACUUUGUUUUUUGGUAACAUGGGCCACAGCAGCAUGUGAUUCAGAGUUUCCCUCGUUUCAGUCCCUAGUGUUCGCGCCAGAACUCCACGACUGUUCGAUGCAAAUCCUCUGUAAACCGUCACAUUCUUCUGAAGAUCUUCACAUGACUGAUGGUACUUUCAGUAUAAAGUUUUAUGGAGAAAGAUUUGAAAUUUGUUUAAAUCGAGUAUCCAUCCCAUAAUAAGUAGAAAAUUCUCUCCUUAGUUGUCAUUAAGAAAUUAAAUAUUUAUAUAUGUUCAAUCAAUAUCCUGUCCACGUCGCCAUGGCAACAGUGGUGAAAAUUCCCACGCGCCUGGACAUCCAUUGUUGGCGGUUCACAUGCUUCAGCUCUAAAGGGUCUAAGGUUUGAGAGAUUUAGGGUCAAAGGUCAAGAGAGUCAGGGUCCAGGCUGAAGAGUGCAGCUGAUGUGGGUGUGUUUCUUCCCACAAUGGGAUCAGCUGGAGACGCGUCGUACGCUUGAUGAUGAAGAUGAAGAACCCACUGAGAUACACAGAUUCAUUCCCCAAAUAGUCCUUCACUUUCUACAUAAUAAAUGUUCUGCUUGUCACUGUUUGGAGAUUUGUUUGAUAAAGUCACAAUCACGACUCUCAACGCCAGGCUAAUGGAAGGAAAGCUAACAACAAGUUCUCACUAACCUGCAGCACUUACAGGAAACAAACGUUUAUCAUCUGCAGAAUAUACCUUUUUAAGUAGUUUAUUUAUUCCAAACAUCUUUACCUUCUUACUGCAACAUCAUUCACUUGAUUCAUUUAUACAUUACUGAUGAACAUUUAAAGUCUCAAAAAAGUUCAGACCUUCAAACCAUUUUCUUUUGGUGUCACCAAAUCUAAAAGCAUUAAUUCUCUAACCUCCAGGAUUUCUUCCUGCUUGUUCCUGGUGUGAAUGAGCUCAAUAGGGCAGCUGUUGGAUUUCAUGAAUAUUCAGAGGUUCAGUACGGAGAUGGAGAUGGAAACCUGGGGCCAUGACUUUAGGUCUGUGGAAAAGAAGGAAAAAAGAAAAGCUUAUUCUGAGUACUGCUUUAAUGGUUUAUGGAAAACGAAAGCAGAACGUGAGAACAUGUGUGAAGGACAUUAUGGUCAGCUGUGUUUGGAUGUGCUGAUGCACCUGCAGGAUUGAGGAAUUUUCAGUGCACUUUUAUUGUUCUAGAGUCGAAUGUAACUCACAUUUUUUAUUAGAAUAUUUAUAAUAUUUAGGUUUUGACAUUUAAAAGACGUUUUUGGGUUAAAAAUAAAUCUGUAGAUUAAUGUUACAUUAUAUCAGAUUUAAAUAACAUACAUGUUGAUUUUAUUUUAAUCUUCUGGUAUUAACUUUAAAUAAUAUGAAUAUGGUCUAAUGCUCCUAAACCAGACCUUCAUCGCUUCACACACUUUUUUGAUGAAUAUGGACAUCUAGUUUUUAAAUUACGAUUCUGAUUUGCACAAUGAAACAUAAAUAUUUAUUAUAUUCAGUAUGUUCAUUAGGCAUUUUGUAAUAUUUAGUAUAUUUAAUAUCUAUAUGUGUAGUUUUCAUUAUAUUGAGUAUUUAGGAAAUAAAGUAUUUUUGGUUCUGGGUGAAAACUUCUGCAGUGUUUGUUGGUUUUUGGGUUGGUGAUUGUUCUCUCUCCUUCCCAAACUCCAAACAUGUGAUUAGUGGUGUGCUGAGUCAGCGUUCUGGCUUAGCGUCCAUUUACUGAGCCGAGUUUCACUUCAUGAAGCAAAUAUCCAAAAUGGGUGAUGUGAUGAAAUUCACAGUUUCCUGAAUAAAUAAUUCUGACCAAUUUCUCCUCUUUUUUCUUUUAAAUGUAUAUUUGCUAUGGAUCCUGUACAAUUAGAUAUUUAUACAAAUCUGAUUUAUUGGUUUAAAAUUAUAUUAGUCAGCAGCAAAAACACAAUUGGAACCAUUUUCACAAAAUAAUUUAAGAUUGUGGCACAAAAAUGAGUAGACCCCAAUGAAUGUGUGAGGAGAAAACAUUCACCUGCAGAUGAGUCUGUUUAAUCAUCACACAGGUGGUCAUGAGAUAAUUGGUAAUUAAGAGGUAUUUAAGAGAGAAAAUCCACUCCCCUUUAACACUGACAAAAACAGCUCCACGUGGAAAAGAAAUGUUCUAGAACCUGAGAAAGAAAAUCAUUUCUUCUACAAAAAAAGAACUGAAAUUAAAAUAUCAGACACUGAGGAUAAUUUUGCUCCAGAGGAGGAAAUGAUGAUGAAGAGGAGGAGAUGAUGAUGAAGAGGAGGAGAUGGAUAACUCUCUCUAUGUUUAUAAUAAACUCCUGAGGACUGUAAUGACGGGGUGUUUUGGCAGAAUAAUUGUGUUUUUGUGGUCUUGGUUUGGCUGAGACGUAUGUUCUCCUCUGUCUCAUUAUAUCUAUAGGUAUAGGGUAUAUUUGUUUUAUUGAAGAAGAGAGGCUCAGGUUUCACGGCUUCUCACGUGCUAAUGGUGGAGCCAAUCGAGAUUAAACCCGGGGAUUUCUGAGGAACGAGACAUUUUCUGGAUUUUUAUUUUUUCAGGUCAGAAAAAUCGCUGAUUUCGCACAUUCUCGAGUAAUGUCAGUGCGACCUUCACGCCAAAUAAAUAAUAGAAGGAAAGAUUUUUAAAGAGGAAAAUGGAUGACUGUUGGAAAGUUUGAAUGUUUUAGUAUUUCAGCUUAACCCUAACACCCUAACAGUACACCUCAACAGUACACCCUAACAGUGCAUACAGCCUGACCGUACACCUUAACAGUACACCCUAAAAGUUAUAGCCUUACAGUACAGUGUGUGUGUGUGUGUGUGUGUGUGUGUGAAGGUUCAUGAGAAGGUUCCCCUGCUGUAUAAAAAGGUUUUUUGUGUGCUUUUAUGAGUGAGUGUGAGCAAGAUAAUAAAUCCAAGCCUUUCCCUUGUAAUGACUAGGACACACACACACACACACACACACACACACACACACACACACACACACACAGCCAUAGUAUACACUUAAACUAUGCAAAUAAAUACAUUUAUAAUUUACAAUGGAUGAUGCUAGUUCCUCACACUACACAGAGUAGUUUUGAUGUGCUGGUAGAUAAACGUGUAGCUGAUGAGAAACUGGACGACUGCCUCAUUACAUACUGCACACCUUCCAGCAUUAAACAUACACGCUAGCUAGCAAACCAUGCUAUGUGCUAAUGAGCUAAUAACGACCAGCUGUGGACAUUUCUAAGCUAAAUUUUAAAAGAUGUAGCGCAUUCGGUCUCUCUGUGUGUGUCUGUGUGUCUCUCUCUGUCUCUCUGUGUCUCCGGUUUGUAUUUAACGAAUGUGUUACAGUCCAUAUGGUGACCAUUUUACUAUUGUGUUUGUCUGGGAACAUUUUACUCUCACACACACACACACACACACACACAAUGAAUUGAAGAGGCCCUGGUUGUCAUUCAUAGCAUGUCUCUCACUCUAGCAGCAGUGUGUGUGUGUGUGUGUGUGUGUGUGUGUGUGUGUGUGUGUGUGUGUGUGUGUGGGAGAGAGAGAAAGAGGGAGAGAGAGAAAGGGGGGUUUUUGGUGGAUGAGGUUUUAGCGACUAUGGAAACAGUUAAACAGAGAAAAAUGAAGGUGGAAUAGAAAACACACACACACACACACACACACACACACACACACACACAGUUGUUCAGGACUGCUGUGUGAGUGGUGGUGAAAAUUAGUUGUGCUGCUGUUGUGAGGAACAUCUGACUGUGUUCACCUUCACACUAAUAAUCUGAUGUGUGUGAUCUGAUGGAGAUCAGACUUUCCAUCGGAUCAUCAAGCAGAACAGUUUGAUAACCUGAGAAUACAUAACUGUGUGUUUCUGUUUAUGUGGAUAAUGACGGUUACAGGUUGCUCCCAUCACCAUGCUUCACCCUGGGGGAGGGGUUUUCUGGGUUGAGGUUUUUGUCAAAACUCAAUGUGUGUGUGUGUGUGUGUGUGUGUGUGUGUGUGUGU
This is a long non-coding RNA of Silurus meridionalis, 6308 nucleotides long. RefSeq lists it as uncharacterized. The transcript has 3 exons. The record is from RefSeq and is a predicted model, not a curated record. NCBI's taxonomy places the organism in Eukaryota, Metazoa, Chordata, Actinopteri, Siluriformes, Siluridae.